CUUCAGCGAACCCAGCCACAGCGGCCGGUCGGUGGUGUGCUGCGCGCCGUAGGUGGCGAUCAGCGCCUGCGCCUC
RNAcentral lists this antisense RNA (75 nucleotides) under Amycolatopsis saalfeldensis. Its description in RNAcentral is "ASpks TB sRNA". It matches the Rfam family "ASpks TB sRNA". Lineage: Bacteria; Bacillati; Actinomycetota; Actinomycetes; Pseudonocardiales; Pseudonocardiaceae. The record is from Rfam by way of RNAcentral.